Molecule: ribosomal RNA, 405 nt
Filed under: uncultured bacterium
Lineage: Bacteria
Description: bacterial SSU rRNA
Rfam family: Bacterial small subunit ribosomal RNA
Source: RNAcentral
AGUGAACGCUGGCGGCAGGCCUAACACAUGCAAGUCGAGCGGCAGCGCGUCCGACCACCCUCGGGUGGUCGGAUGGCGGCGAGCGGCGGACGGGUGAGGAAUGCAUCGGAAUCUGCCUCGUUGUGGGGGAUAACGUAGGGAAACUUACGCUAAUACCGCAUACGACCUACGGGUGAAAGUGGGGGACCUUCGGGCCUCACGCGAUGAGAUGAGCCGAUGCCGGAUUAGCUAGUUGGCGGGGUAAAGGCCCACCAAGGCGACGAUCCGUAGCUGGUCUGAGAGGAUGAUCAGCCACACUGGAACUGAGACACGGUCCAGACUCCUACGGGAGGCAGCAGUGGGGAAUAUUGGACAAUGGGGGGCAACCCUGAUCCAGCCAUGCCGCGUGUGUGAAGAAGGCCUCGG